AAAUAAUUGACAGUCCCCGGUGUACCGUUAUCUCGAAUCUAUCCGCUUGCCGAUAGAUGGUACCACUGUUGUUUCCAGAUGGAAGAUUCUUGACUGUUAGUAACGUCUGCUAUCUGGAGUAUUCAUGUCUAAACCCAACCUAAUUUGUCUGUUGGAUAACCAUGAAUUUUCGGUAUGGAUCGGGGACUGGAGUUGAAAUGAAAAUACUGAAAAGAGGAUCUCGUAUCGACGACAGACAAGAUGGAGCGUGCUCUGCGCCUUUGGAAUAUUUCAUGAGGAUUCCCGGACAGGCCUUCGGGCUUUCGAAGAGAAGCGUCACAUACAACCUUGACAACCAAAAGUGGCGAAGCGUAAUUUCGGCGAAAAAAAUAUAUCGAAAAAAUGGAAAAAUCUUACCGAAAAUCACCGUACGAGGUAAGGGUUGAACAGGGGAACAGUCCUGGUGCGUUAAACACGUGUGUUCUAGAACGGCGUUCGAGAGUGUUCCAGGGGUGCCUACGUGCGGCACGUUAAUACAGCUCGGUGCAGAGUGGAGGGUGGCUGCUGAUGUAAUUUUUGCCCGUUUGAUGUCUUUAAUGGAAUCAGGCGCGUACCUAGCAGGCGCCACUCAAUUUGCAGGGUGCGACUAAUGGCUGCCGAGAGGUAGAAAGCGUCCGGACGAACAAACGGAAGGACGCUCUUGCGCUCUGGUUGGCCAGCCUGGGGUCUCUCCGCCAACCCCGCGAAAGAGUCCACUUUACGAGACUCCGAUAAAUUCAAGGACCGCCGUGACGAAGGAAAAGGUCUCCUGCUCCAACCAUCGAAGGGAAGACCGAGCUCGCGAAGGGCGAAAAUAUUAUGUCUCUCCUCUCAUUAUCUCGCUAUUCUUGCUGAGCGAUCGAGCGGAAUGAUAGGCCUUCCAGCGAGUGUAUUUAGUCGAACGACUAUGGCUCCCACGGGUUCCGCGUUCAACCUAAAUGUUUGGUAUUACCGAACCAUGUUGUAGAGCUUGUACCCGUGUCUCUCGCGUUCUGGUACUGGUACUCAUUUAUCCUUCUCUCUCGCUCUCACCAUCUCUUUCGGCAUCUCUCUUGGCUCCUCUCACCGUUCUGUCCCUGUACGAAAUGCGUUUUCACGCCAAUUUGUCUCCCCGGAAGCUUUCACGAGUCUUUACGCUUCCCUCUCGGUAUAGUCGCGUAGCGGGGACCCGUUGAGGCCCCUUUCAGUACGCUGGAAAUGCGUGCGCGCGUACAUGCGUUCGUGCGUACGCAUCUCCACUUACUUAUCUAUAUGCGACUAUUGAGAUACACACGCGAUCAACUUACACGAGUCAAUGUACCGAUUCGCUUUCGCUGAUUGACUGAUAAGGAUUAAAUAGAUUUGUCAGAUCCUAUGUACGUUGUGGUUACGGCGAUAGUCUUAAAUGUCUGUCAGUACGGAUUUCAUGUCAAAAUCAUACGGAUAAGCUGAAUGUUAUAAUUUCACUUGUUGGUACGAUUUAUCAAAGACUUUCAGUUCAAUUGUUUUUCCGUCAUAUCAUUUGGAUGGUAGUAAUUUGGAAAGUAAUGAAUUAUUAUAUUAUUCGUAUUUGAAAUUGUGUAAAGUAUAACACCACGGGAAUGGGAUUGUAAUAUUUAUUAUAUGCGCGUUCUUUGCGAAAUGUCAUUAUAUUAUGAUUAAUUAUUAAAUUAACUUCGCAACUUAACUGCGACAAUUAAAUCGCUAAAGAGCGAAGGAUUGCACCGUAGAAAAACAGUGAUAUAUAAGAUUCCGAAUAUCAAGAGGGUAGCUCGUCGAAGAUUGACGAGUAUACUGAAUGAAACGAAUCUUGAUGGCGACUCCUGCGUCGGUGUGUAACUGUGUACAAUAACGAAAGGAAACCCGUCCACGUAUAUUUCCCCGGGGCCCCUCAGGCUUAGCAGGGGCCAUUGGAGCAUCGACGACAGCGCGGAAGAUCCAAGAAUCAAGCACACAGACGAGCGCCGCUGGAGAAUGGUGGAGAGCAAAAGCCGCAGGAGAUCAUAUCGGAGCAGAUAAUUGGUUGGCAAUCCUCUCUAAACCCCAGCGGCACUCUUUUUACGUUCUCCAGACUAGCAGGCUUCGCCCACGAAGCUACUGGCGCGGCAUUACAGGAUUGUUUUAAUUAAAAGCAACCAUUCGACAGUGCCAGGGACGGUAGUCGAAGCUAGAGGAGUAGACAAGAAAUGAAAAAAAAAAAAAAGAAAAACUUUUCAAAAAUGCCAGUGCAACCAAGAAAGGGUUACAGAAUGAAAUAAAAAAUUGCCGAAUUGGACAAAGGUAUUAAGGUGACGUCAUGAUUGGCGAACCAAUCCAGUGCCUUCAUACAAAACCCAAAGUGUUGGCUAGCAGGGGCGUAUCGUGGGGGCUCCUGUCAGGAGCCGAGUGCUGGUUUUACAGUGUCGGCGGCUGCGACCUGAUUACAGGGCCCGAGCAAUACCGUCACAAGGGCAUAACACGCUCUCGAAAGCCCGAGAAGCCUCCGUGCAACACACGACGAUACCGAUCAAAGAUUGACCCGGUAAAAAGAGGUAGACCGAUGCUGCAUGGGAUACGUCGGGAGGAGCUGCUGGUGCUGUUGGAGAUCUGGUCUAGGACGAGGGAGGUGAGGAAAUGGUGGCUGGAGGGAAGGAGGAUAAGAAGAAGGCGGAGGAGGACACAAGAGGCUCUCAGCUCAGAGCGGGCAGGAUAAAUAAACGCGGCGAGCCGCCCUCUCAUCUCGAACACCUCUAUUUCGCCGCUCCUGGAGUGCAAGUCAUUGCGUUACUCGAGUCCCAGCAUCGGUUCAGCAUCGGAGCCGAUCUUCGACGCCUUUGGGCCCUGCGAUAUCUCGCUACGUUACAUUUCAUCGGACAGUAACCGUACAGCGUAUAUGGCUUCUGUAUCUUAUAACCAACUCAAUUUGGUCGGUAGGACUGAUCUGAUGAUCGGUAAUCAUCGACGUAAGCCCAUUGUAGGUCUUAUGGCUUAGUACCGAUUUACAUAGCAUAAUGUUACUCUUUCCAGAGCACCUGCUGGGAUCGGUCGAGAUGUUUAUAAUGCCAAAAAUCACCGUAAGGUCACGCUGCCGGUAUCUGUCGCCAUUACCAACCGACCGUUCAGCAUUUAAUCCACAAAUCGGCUUUCCAGAUCGGCCACCAGAGCGACCACCGAUGUCUCCCAUCAUCUUCAUCCGUUCUCGACGUCUUACGACUCUUCUAGUCAUUUUUCAUGCUGGAAACUAAUUUUUCUUUUUCUUCGUGGUCAGUUCACGCGUUCAUCGAAACACUGGUUUAUAUUCAUGUACGAUUGAGUAACGGAUAUACGUGGUUACCUCGGUAAACGUAUGCCACUGCGGAAGAACGAUAGGAGGUGACGUAACGAUUUUCUCCGAUCGUAGUCGUAGCCCUGCGAUUUGCUCGAUUACCUGUAAUGACGCUCUCGGCGGUUGUGCGUGGCCGCGCACGCAAUCCGCGAUCCGUGAGUGCGCACUCGCUCGACAAUGGCAGCUCAUUAUCACUUGGUAUUGGCCCAUUGUUAGCCAUGGGAGAGCCGGAACGGCCUUACGGCAAUGAGAAACGAUACGUAUCCAUACGGCACCCCCUCUGGCGUACAGGGGAUGCUAUAUGCUAUAGAUAGAUAACCUAUUUUCGUAGCGACAAGAGGCAACAAAAGAUUUUUGCUUGGACACAUAAAAGCAUAUACCAUAACCAACGUAGGGAAUUUGCCAUAUGGAUUUGUCAGGAGAUAAAAAUGUCAAACCGCAGAUCGUGGGCGGGCUCUGGGUAACGCACGUCAGGGGUGUAUAAACUGGGUUCUUUUCUCACGUAAUUCUUAUUGGUGUAUGAAAAAAAAAAUCCUCUUGCUUUUCUCACUUAUUGAUAUUCUGCCAGCUCGUGGCACCUUCGACGAGAAAAACCAAGGAAAAUAAUUUCCUUCUCCGAGGCUCCCCCACUCGGGAGCCAGAAAAGCAAGCAGAAAACGUAGACAGACAGCUGAAACCCGAUGGGCGAGCCAGGGCGCGCUAAAACAUGCAAAAUCAUGUAAAUUGCGUUCACUCGUCCGCCACCCUGUAUACUUGCUAUCUCUAUCUUUUUCUCUCCCUCCACGCUACUUGCUACCCUUUGUGUAUAUAUAUAGCUGUCUUUCUUUCUCUCGUUCUCCGGCGUCACUCGUACUCGCUGGCCAUUGUAUUAAAUGUAUAUACGGUGGUUACACAAGUGCAAGUUCGUUCUGCCUCCUACAUUCUCUCACUUUCGAGCCUCCCGCGAGCUCUGUCCUGCGCGUCAAAAAUGUUUCGACAAUUGUGUGCCGCUACGUUUUCUUCCUUUAUUUUUGCCGAGGGGUGGAAUAACGACGAUGGGCGGAGCCCUGCUGAAAUAGGAAUGAAACUUCGAGCGCCAUAUUUACAUCGUGCACGAAAAAUUCGAAUCUACCCUCCUGCUACUUCGCGAACCCUUCAAGGAGUCUUUGGGAGAGCGAAGGGUUAGCCGUCUAUAAGAAUUUUUCACCCUUUGAAAAUUUAGCCCUUUUUUUUUCUUUCUCAUAUUCCAGACGUUACUCGGAACGCUAAGGGUUGGUACGAUGUCAAAUUUUUUGAACCUAUUAAUUAUAUAUAUAUAAAUUUCCCCCGAAAAAAUUUAUUUUAAAAAUACCUCACGACUUAUGGUACGUACCUGGGUGCAUGCGUGGGGUAUUUCAAUUUUUCUAUUUCAUUAAUCCAUCUCGGAGGCAAAACCGGUCCGGGACGUUUUCCACUGCACUUUCUAUAGUUUUUCAGAGUUUCGGUAAUCCCAAAGAGAGACUCUGCCAUCUGGCGUUCGUUAAUGAAAUUAAAAAAGCUUCGAUAAAAAAAAUGAAAGAGCGACGGCUACCUAGGGGAUUUGUAGCGCGUUGAUUAAAACUGCGCCGAUGUAUGGCUUGCGUCGACGUCGAAUAUAACGUUCGCAUGUACGAGCGACGGUGCAUUUGAAUUUGUCGAAUAUGAAAGGUCCAUCGUAGACAGGAUGCGUCCUGAAGAAAAUCACUGUUAAAUAUUUUUAAUAAUAAAUAAUAAUCCACGUUAUUUAACGUAGCUAAAAAUAUUUUAAACGUACUAUUCGAUUUCGACAGACAAUACGACUAAUGGCCGAAGAUAUAAAGUCUAACCUAGCCACGUUAAUGACACCAGUAACGGCUCAUCAUUCUAUAUCGUAAGAAGCUAAUUGAAUUACCGCCUAUUGUCCAAGACGUCGGACCUCGCGGCCAUACUAUUUGAUCACUUUUCAUAACCCCUGUCUGUACAAUAAGACGUAUCAUCGUCAUAGUUUUUGUAAGCAGUGUCCUACAUAACACGAGGCGUGUCUCUAUUGUGAACGCACCCAAUUCAGUUCUGGUAGACACGUAAUUCACUUGGAUUUCAUUGCAUGCCUUACACAAUCCAAUAAUAAGUCGAGUUUCGUUCAAUUAGUCGUAGCAAAAAUGUAAAAAGAAAAAAAAUUGCAAAACCAA
This is a long non-coding RNA of Cephus cinctus (wheat stem sawfly), 5466 nucleotides long. RefSeq lists it as uncharacterized. The transcript is spliced from 5 exons. The record is from RefSeq and is a predicted model, not a curated record. NCBI's taxonomy places the organism in Eukaryota, Metazoa, Arthropoda, Insecta, Hymenoptera, Cephidae.